RNAcentral lists this unclassified non-coding RNA (828 nucleotides) under Hevea brasiliensis (rubber tree). The record is from RNAcentral. Lineage: Eukaryota; Viridiplantae; Streptophyta; Magnoliopsida; Malpighiales; Euphorbiaceae.
AUUAGUUCACUCAUCUCCCUCGCAUCUUCCCUCUCCUCUCUCUUUGUUUUUCCUCUGUAGAUGAACAGUCAUAGACUAUUGGGUGAAGAAAUUCAAAUUUCUUAGCUAAGCUAAAAUUGAUUGAGUAAUGAUGUAGAGAGAGAGUGGGGAAGAAAGGGCGUAGUAUUUUUCUUGAGUACAGAAUGAUAACUUCUCUUGUGGGUUGGGUUUUGUUUUGGCUUUGAAAGAAAGCUUUGCUUGUUGGGUUUUGUUUGUUUGUGUUUCUUCCUUCGUUCAUCUUUUUUUCUUGCUUUCUUUUGGAUGGGUGCAGAGGGAGGAGAAGCUGUAGUAGAAGUAUUGAAAAAGGAGAAAGAUAGGAGAGACAAGAGAAGAGAGAGCAGUGGUGGUACAAUUGCAUACAGUAGUAAUACACAAGAAUUCUCCUUGCAAGUGAAAAAAAUCUUGUACCAUAACAAAAUAAAAACACACACACUCAUACACUUGUUGAGCUUCUAAAAAGAUCUCUCACUAAAAUCCACGAGCUAGCUAGCGCACAAACAAAGAAUAAAAAAGAAGAAGAGGAUUAGAUCUGUAAACAAAGAUCUGGUUUUUCUUCUAGAGUUCUUUUCUUUCUUUCUUUAGAGUCAUGAAGAGACUUGGCAGCUCUGAUUCCCUUGGUGCUUUGAUGUCCAUCUGCCCAACCACAGACGAGCACAGUCCGAGAAACAGCAACCAUGUUUAUGGGAGAGAAUUUCAUUCCAUGUCCAUGUUGGAGAGCUUAGAUGAGGAAGCUUGUGUAGAGGAAUCAGGCCAUGGAGCAGAGAAGAAACGGCGAUUAAGUGUAGAUCA